AUCCAUCCAAUCUUGCCUCCAUUCUCGUAUUGACCAUGCCACACAACCACCAUAGCACCAGGAAAGUGGCUUUGAAUACCAAUGAUAGGUAUUACAGACCUAUACGAAUGAACUUGGUUAAACUGUAAAAUGUAAUAUAGCAUUCAUUGAACCUCUUAAGAGAGGACCCAAACAAAUAACUUUCUGGUUAUUAGAGAGAACUAGACUCUCCCUCCCUAACUUUCACAAAUUACAAAAUAAAGAUAGAAACUGUUAAAACUGUCCAUUCUGACUCUAUAGAAGUUAGAUGCAACUAACUACAGAUGAAUAACUACCUUACAUAUAUUUAAAACUGUCUGUCAUACAAUAAACUAAAUCAUACAGUUUUCCUUUUGUUGUAAACCUUCCCUUUGUACCUAUCAUGUUGUUCACAUUUUUUUUUGUUUAACCUUGUUUUAUCCAAAUAAAUGAAGACUGAGUACCCACCUUUCAGGACCAUUGAUAUACUUUUCUUUAAUUGUAUAAUUAUGGCAUUGAUCCUGCUCACUUUCCUGUGAAUGUGAAUUCACAUAAUUAUUUUGAUGUCUCCUUUUUGUCACAACCAUAACCCGAAUUAUUAACAUAAACAUUUAUAAGUUAAGACUUGUUUUUCAAUAUCAUAAUUUUUUUUUUAAAUUAAAUAAAGGGUUCUUUUUUUGGAGCACAAGGAAUAGUUCAUUUUAAAAGAAAACAAAAUAACUUAAUGUGACAAAUGGGUUAAAGAAUCAUUAUUAUGAAGGGGAACAAAAUGAACAAGCCAAGAAUGGAGAAUUCUUACAACUUACGAACAUUUUUUCUGCAUUUGUGUGAGAUUUUCCUUGACUUAUCAAACAUACCAGAUUGAUGUUGCUACAUGACUCUCGUAAUGAUGAUGGGAUUAAAAGUUUCUUCCAAGAGGUGCACGAGCUUUACAUAAAGACUCUCCUCAAUCCUCUGUACUUGCCUGGCUCCCGGAUCACGUCGUCGCAUUUUGAUACCAAAGUCCGAGCUCUUGCACGAAAGUAUUUGUAGAAAUUACUAAUGUUUUUGUGGUUGCUAGUUCAUAUUGCUGCGAUUUGAUUAUUGUCUUGUUCGUUGUUGAUUAGAUUUGAAAAUCGGUCUCUCUUUAAUCUUUUAUCCAUGAUUUGGCAGCAAAGGGUAGGUUUACUGUUGUCUAUAGUGUACCUCAGUCAUUAGCAGGUGAGAUGACUGUUUUUUCCUGAUGAAAGCUAUUGUUGACAAACUAUUCGAUAUUUCGAUUGCUAGUGACUUUCAUUUGUAAUAAUAUUGAUCUUGUAUUUAAUGCUCAA
Vigna umbellata (rice bean) is the source of this 1307-nucleotide non-coding RNA. The record is from RefSeq and is a predicted model, not a curated record. Lineage: Eukaryota; Viridiplantae; Streptophyta; Magnoliopsida; Fabales; Fabaceae.